UCCGUGAUGUAUACUCUAAUAGCGCACACACGAGAACCAAAGAAAUGGCUUCAUUUAAAUUGCUUAUAAAUAUAUUUAUACAAUAAUUCAUAUAAAUGAAGUAAUUUCAUAGGUUCUUGUGCGUGCGCUAUUGGAGUAUACAUCACGGA
Paramuricea clavata is the source of this 149-nucleotide non-coding RNA. The record is from the annotation of a GenBank genome assembly. NCBI's taxonomy places the organism in Eukaryota, Metazoa, Cnidaria, Anthozoa, Malacalcyonacea, Plexauridae.